This 253-nucleotide ribosomal RNA is filed under the name uncultured bacterium. RNAcentral's name for it is "partial 16S ribosomal RNA". It matches the Rfam family "Bacterial small subunit ribosomal RNA", at positions 524 to 776 of the family's 1533-position model. The record is from RNAcentral.
UACAGAGGUCUCAAGCGUUGUUCGGAUUCAUUGGGCGUAAAGGGUGCGUAGGUGGCGCUGUAAGUCGGGUGUGAAAUUUCGGAGCUUAACUCCGAAACUGCAUUCGAUACUGCGGUGCUUGAGGACUGGAGAGGAGACUGGAAUUCAUGGUGUAGCAGUGAAAUGCGUAGAUAUCUGGAGGAACACCGGUGGCGAAGGCGGCAUCCUGGACCGGUAUUGACGCUGAGGCGCGAAAGCCAGGGGAGCAAACGGG